CCUACGGGAGGCAGCAGUGAGGAAUAUUGGUCAAUGGGCGCGAGCCUGAACCAGCCAAGUCGCGUGAGGGAUGAAGGUUCUAUGGAUCGUAAACCUCUUUUAUAAGGGAAUAAAGUGUGGGACGCGUCCUAUUUUGUAUGUACCUUAUGAAAAAGGAUCGGCUAACUCCGUGCCAGCAGCCGCGGUAAUACGGAGGAUCCGAGCGUUAUCCGGAUUUAUUGGGUUUAAAGGGUGCGGAGGCGGCCUGUGAAGUCAGCGGUGAAAGUUUGUGGCUCAACCAUAGAAUUGCCGUUGAAACUGGGGGGCUUGAGUGUGUGAGAGGCAGGCGGAAUGCGUGGUGUAGCGGUGAAAUGCUUAGAUAUCACGCAGAACCCCGAUUGCGAAGGCAGCCUGCCAAGCCAUGACUGACGCUGAUGCACGAAAGCGUGGGGAUCAAACAGGAUUAGAUACCCCUGUAGUC
RNAcentral lists this ribosomal RNA (460 nucleotides) under uncultured bacterium. Its description in RNAcentral is "partial 16S ribosomal RNA". It matches the Rfam family "Bacterial small subunit ribosomal RNA", at positions 338 to 795 of the family's 1533-position model. The record is from RNAcentral.